Molecule: long non-coding RNA, 471 nt
Filed under: Pan troglodytes (chimpanzee)
Lineage: Eukaryota; Metazoa; Chordata; Mammalia; Primates; Hominidae
Description: long non-coding RNA NONPTRT003861
Source: RNAcentral
UAUUUAUUUCCCCAGUAACCCUUGUAUUCUUGUUUGGACAGUCCUGGCAUCAUUGAUACUUUCUUUCAGAAACAUUAUCUCACAUUGAGAAUGGGGAUAGGGUGAACGCCAACUGAGGCAGGUGGUCUCUUCAUCUGGUUGUGCUUGGCACAUAGUAUGGUGCUACAAAAGUUGCUUUUUUUUUUCCCUCCCUCCCUCCCUUCCUUCUUUCCUUCCUAUCUCUUUUUCCUUUUUUUUUUUUUUUUUUUUUUGAGACAGAAUCUUACUUUGUCACCCAGGCUGGAGUGCAGUGCCACCCUCAGACAGACCCCAGUGUGUAUUGUUCCCCUUAAUGUAAAUGUGUGUUCUCAUCAUUUAGUUCCCACUUUAUAAGUGAGCAUUUAGGUUGAUUUCAUGUCUUUGCUAUUGUGAAUAGUGCUGCAGCGAACAUACACAUGCUUGUGUCUUUAUGAUAGAAUGAUUUCUAUUCCU